GUCUGCCUGAGACAAUACCUCAGAAUUGUCAGGGUGCUCAGCAAUCCGCACCUGACAGUGCUGGGGUUUAGUCUCAGCAGAC
This 82-nucleotide microRNA precursor is filed under the name Petromyzon marinus (sea lamprey). Its description in RNAcentral is "microRNA pma-mir-875 precursor". Its record names the gene pma-mir-875. Lineage: Eukaryota; Metazoa; Chordata; Hyperoartia; Petromyzontiformes; Petromyzontidae. The record is from miRBase by way of RNAcentral.